RNAcentral lists this ribosomal RNA (366 nucleotides) under Triticum aestivum (bread wheat). RNAcentral's name for it is "partial small subunit ribosomal RNA". The record is from RNAcentral. Lineage: Eukaryota; Viridiplantae; Streptophyta; Magnoliopsida; Poales; Poaceae.
AUGUGGGACUCGGAGUGGGACUGGCAAGUGCGCCAAAUUCGAAGGAAUUGCUUCUCGGUGGUGUACCCGUCCAAGGCUGCCGUUCGGAUGGCUAAGAAGAGCGGCACCAUUACGCUUCCUAUCAGCGUUCAGAAGGCGGAGGUGGGAGAGACUUUCUCGAAGCUGCAUGUGGUGUCUUGGCUGCAGGAGUGCUGGGUGCGGAUCACUGGAAUACCGGACAAGCUUCGUCAAGCCCCUCUCAUCAAGGAAUUUCUACGGGUGGUGGGAAAGACAGUGUUGAUCGAUGAGCUUACAAUUGUCAAGCCGGACAUGGGAGGAAUCCGCGGCGCCCUGCAACCUCUUGAGCAUGCGUUGGUUUUCCCUUGA